CUGUUCCGAGCCCGAAUGCACCGAUGAAGAUAGCCAUGCCAAUGUGACUUCGCCCGUCUCAUAUUUAGAUGAGAGCAAGGUUACCUUGAAAUGGUGUGUCGAAAGGGAUUGUAAGAGUAAAGGUGAAGCGUGGACCUUGCACAGGUGCAUCUGCUGCAUGACUCUUCGAGACCAACCAUGUUAUCAUUCUUACAACGAAUGUGAAAAGAAUUGCCCACCAAGUUGAAAUAAGGGUCCGCAUUACAAAGAUAUAUAAAGCAACCUAUUAUUAGAAUAAAAUAGCGUGCCGAUUGUUGCAGGUGGUACCUUUUCAUGAGUCUAUAUAUCUAUGCAAAUAAAAAGUUAGUUGCACUCGUAUGCUGCCAAUCUUAUCCUAUUUAUGCUCACUAAUUCAUGGCAGAGUAAUGCUAGACAUACGGAUGUUUCACGGGAUUUUUACGGACUCCCUAUUUUGCAAUUUAGAAUCGGGUACUGGUGCUGAAGCGACUGCUAUGCGUCGACCGUGGCACACUUGUGUUGCGCGCUCGACCAUUCGUUGCUCGGUUGUUCAGACACUCACCGGUCAGCUACACGUCCAGCCUGAAAAUUGCAAUCUGGCUUUCGUUGACCGUUUUGUUUUUUCAAAAAGUACACAAAAUUGGUGGGAGGAUCAUAAAUUCAAAAUAUAUGCAUGCAAAUAAAAUAAAAAUGAAUUUAAAAAGUUACUGAACUCAGAAAAUUUUCAUGAAUGUUCAAAAAAGUUUGUGGAUUUAAAAAAUGUUUUUGGGUUUCAUGAUAGUUCAUGGGUUCGUAAAAGUUCAUGAAUUUUAAAGAAGUUAGUGGAUUUCAUAAAGGUUUGCGAAUUUGAAGAAAAGGUCACGAAUUCUAAAAAGAUCAUGAAUUUUAAAGAAGUUUGGGAAUGCCUAUAGAAGUGGAGGUGUGUGCUACUAGUUUGGCUCUUGUUUUCAGUGGCUAGGGUUGCAUGUGCCGAUGUGCGGCAUCUAGCCUCCUCCACUUACCUUCCUUGUUGAGCUGGACCUGGCAGUCCCCUGCUCUCCAUGUACGUGCGAAAACCAUUAGAGGCAGUGUAUUUGUGCUACUCUAAUGAAUUUUUUGAUGGGGUGGUGUUACCAGUAGUUCAAGUGAGAUCGACGAUUAAGAAGGGACACCCCUGGGUAUGCGCUACUCUAACUCUUCUUCUAUUGCGAGUAUUGUGCUCUAGUGGUAAUCUCAUGAAAUAUAUCCUAAGCAUGCUCCUCGGUUGUGACAUCCUACUUAAUAGGAAUGAUAGAUUGCUCAUAUCACACUAGUAGAAAAUGGGGCUUUCGACCGAAGCAGAAAAGACCAUUAGCCUCGUUCAAAUUAAAACCGAGACCAAUGCCACGGUACGAGUUGCCAGGGCAAUAGUCCCGGUUCGUUUCGUUUCGUUAGUCCCGAUUUGGGGCAAAAACCGGGACUAAAGAUCCAGCGACUGACACGUGGCGUGCCGAUGAGCAUUAGUCCCGGUUUGUGGCCAGNNNNNNNNNNNNNNNNNNNNNNNNNNNNNNNNNNNNNNNNNNNNNNNNNNNNNNNNNNNNNNNNNNNNNNNNNNNNNNNNNNNNNNNNNNNNNNNNNNNNNNNNNNNNNNNNNNNNNNNNNNNNNNNNNNNNNNNNNNNNNNNNNNNNNNNNNNNNNNNNNNNNNNNNNNNNNNNNNNNNNNNNNNNNNNNNNNNNNNNNNNNNNNNNNNNNNNNNNNNNNNNNNNNNNNNNNNNNNNNNNNNNNNNNNNNNNNNNNNNNNNNNNNNNNNNNNNNNNNNNNNNNNCUGGCCACAAACCGGGACCAAAGAGAUGCCUAUAUAUACCCUCGCCCCUGCCCACCCUCUCCUCUGUUUUUUGGUUGUGUGAGGUGAGCAUGCCAUGCUCUUGCCACCCUUCUAUGCAUGCACAUGAGGUGUUUGAUGAAAUGACCGAGCCACACUACUUAAGCUUUCUCCUCUCCAAGCUCGACCUCCAAGCUCCAUUUUCCUCAAUAUUUGUCUAGGUUUGGCGGUGCACCAACUACACAAGUGUUCUAAAAGGUUAGCUACUUCAUCCUUUCAUCUCUCACUGUUAUUUUGAUUUAGAUGCAAAAUUUGAGCUCAAAUUAACUUCUUAGAGUCUGCUCAUGUGUAGGGUGUCAUCCCGUGCCCGUCCUCACCGUUGUCGAUCGCCCGCGCUGAUCUCGUCGCGAGCACCACCGUGGUGAGCCUCUUGUUCUUAUCUUUUUUUUAAAAUAAUUUUGUUCUUACUUGUAUGAUUUAGAUAGAUACUUGUAUAAAUUACUUACUUUUAUUAUUUUUUGGUAAUAUAUAGUGCGAUGGUUUUGGUAUCUGCCUCCGUCGGCCCUCGUCCUGUCUAUGAUUCGGAUGUGGUAUAUAUUAUCUUUUAUAAAUAUUUGUUUUAUUUAGUGUUUAUGACAAUUAUGAUGACCAACGUGACAUACAUUUUUUAAUCUAAGAGGUAUGUGAACCGGAAAUUCCAACCCACAUAGAGAUUCUUGUCGAGGAGUUAAAUUUGGUUGAAAAAGAAAACAAUUACUUGAAGAAAAAAUUAAAAAUAAUUGAGGAGAAGAAUAUGGAACUGGAGUUGCAUGUUGCCGAUGUCGUCGAUGAUCACAAGAUGAAGAUGGAUGCAAUGCGGUUGAAGAUGGAUGCAAUGCGUUUGAAGAUGAAUGAAAUGCGCUUGAAGAUUAGGAAUAUUAGAAAACAUGCCAUUGAUAAAGAGGCUUGGUAUCAUUAUGUUGUUGGGUCAAUUGUUACCUUAGUUCCGAUUUUUAUCGCAUUUAUUGUUGCAUUUAAAUGUUUACAUAGUUGUAUGUUGUUUUAUGAGAGAACUUUAUGUAAUUAUGUUUGCAAUAAUAACAUUUGAUCACUACUGUGCUUUGGUUUUAAUGUGAUGAUGAACUUGUAUUAAUUUGGUCAUUUCUAUAUUCAUGAUGUUCUGCAAUGGCUUUUUGAUAUACUUAAUUUCAUAAUAUAGAUGAACCGCCAAUGGAUGUACGGUGACCGACACACUUCGGAGUAUAUUACGAACCGAAACUAAUGCACGAGUCUCACUUAAGUUCACACAAAAUGGUAUUCUCGACCGAGGUUAGCAACCUUAUCCUUUUCAUCUGUAGUUGAUACAAAAAUAUUGCAUGUGUCCAUGUACGAUGGUAAUUUCACUAUUCAUGUAUGAUGCAGAUCGAUGCACGGAAGCGAUGGAUGUACAGCGAACGACGGGGUUCCGGAUUUAUUGCAGGCCUGCAUAAAUUUAUCAAUGUGGCUGAGGCAAACAAACUGGAUAAUUGUAUGUCUUGUCCAUGUGUUGACUGUCGAAACGUGAAGGAGUACUCUAGCUCGAAAACCAUUCAAGGCCACGUCCUUCGGAGAGGUUUCAUGCCCACAUAUUAUUGUUGGGCCAUGCACAGAGAAAGAGGGGUUAUGAUGGAAGACAAUGAAGAAGAAGAUGAUGAUGACAACUAUCCUAUGUUCACUGAAGAAUACUGUGAUACUGCAAUGGAAGACAAUGAAGAAGAAGGAGGUGAAGAACAACCAGCAUCAGAUGAGCCCGCUGAUGGCCUUGGUAGGGUCAUUUCUGAUGCAAAGAGACAAUGCGAUAUAGACAAGGAGAAGCUGAAGUUGGAGGCCAUGCUAAAGGAUCAUAAAAAUUUGUUGUACCCAAAUUGCGAAGAUGGCACCACAAAGCUCGGUACCACACUGGAACUGUUGAAAUGGAAGGCAGAAACUGGUUUAUCUGACAAGGGAUUUGAGAAGCUACUGAAAAUAUUGAAGCCAAAGCUUCCAAAGGAUAACGAAUUGCACAAGACUACGUACGAAGAAAAGAAGGCUAUAUACUCUCUUGGAUUAGAUGUGCAGAAGAUACAUGCAUGCAGACUGCAUCAUGUACCGCGGUGAGAAGUACGAGAAUAUGGACAAAUGCCUGGUAUGUACUGCAUGUCGGCACAAGAUCAGACAAGAUGACCCUGGUGAUGUUGAGGGCGAUGACAAGCCCCCAGGAAGAAGGUUCCUGCGAACGUUAUGUGGUAUGCUCAUAUAAUACCACUGUUGAAACAUCUGUUCAGAAACAAUGAGCAUGCCAAGUUGAUGCGAUGGCACAAAGAUGAGCGUAAGAAAGACGGGAAGUUGAGACACCUCGCAGAUGGGCCGCAGGGGGGGAAAUCGAGAGGGAGUGGCCGGACUUUGCACAUGACCCAAGGAACUUAUGGCUUGGUCUAAGUACAAACGGCAUGAAUCCUUUUGGGGAGCAGAGCUGCAGUCACAGCAUCUGGCCCGUGACUCUAUGUAUCUACAACCUUCCUCCUUGGUUGUGCAUGAAGCGGAAGUUCAUUAUGAUGCCAGUGCUCAUCCAAGGACCGAAGCAACCCGACAACGACAUUGAUGUAUACCUAAGGCCAUUAGUUGAUGAACUUUUGUAGUUGUGGGCCAAACCAGGUGUACGUGUGUGGGAUGAGCACAAACAACGGGAAUUUGACCUACGAGUAUUGAUGUUCGUAAGCAUCAACGAUUGGCCUGCUCUUAGUAACAUUUCAGGACAGUCAAACAAGGGAUACAAUGCAUGCACAUAGUGUUUAGAUAAGACUAAAGGUACAUAUUUGAAAAAAUCUAAGAAUGUUGUCUACCUGGGGUGUAAUCUAUUUCUUCCGACCAAUCAUCCCAUAAGAAAGAAAGGCAAGCAUUUCAAUGGUAAAGAAGAUUACCGGAAGAAGCCUAACCUCCCUACUGGUGAUGAGUUAUUGGCUAUGGUCAAGGAUUUGGAUCAAAUAGUAAUCUUUGAAAAGGGUCCUGGCGGUCAAUCUGUUCUAACAGAUGACGUAGCCGGACAUGUGCCCAUGUGGAAAAAGAAAUCUUUACUUUGGGAGCUACCCUAUUGGAAACACCUAGAGGUCCGUCCUUCAAUCGACGUGAUGCACGUGACGAAGAAUCUUUGCAUGAACCUGCUAGGCUUCCCGGGCGUGCAUGGGAAGACAAAAGAUACAAAAGAAGCACGGGAGGAGCAGCAAUGUAUGAAAGACCCAUACGACAAGAAGACUGAUAAAGGGCGUCAAUACUUAAGCAGACACGCUCUUACCAAAGCAGAGAAGGAAAUCUUUUUUGAAUGCCUGAGCAGUAUGAAGGUCCCCGCUGGCUUUUCGCCUAAUAUAAAGGGAAUAAUAAAUAUGGUAGAGAAAAAAUUCCAGAACCUGAAUUCUCAUGAUUUCCACGUGAUUAUGACGCAGUUGUUUCUGGUUGCAUUGAGGGGGCUUCUACCGGAAAAUAAUUGAUUACACAUUGUGAAGCUAUGUGCAUNCUGUAUUUCUACACAAUAUGUUCCCCUUCGAGAGGUUCAUGGAAUUAUUAAAGAAAUAUGUUCAUAACUGUGCUAGGCCAGAAGGAAGCAUCUCCAAGGGCUAUGGAACAGAGGAGGUAAUUGGGUUCUGUGUAGACUUUCUUCGUGACCUUAAGCCAAUUGGUGUUCCUGAAUCGCGACAUGAGGGGAGACUGAGUGGAAAAUGCACGCUAGGAAAGAAAGCAAUGAUAUUUAGGGACGUGCAUUCUUUCACUCAAGCACACUACACAGUUCUAGAAAGUUCCACCUUCGUGGCUUCGUAUAUCGAGGAACACAAGAAUUUUGUACGCUCUGAGUUCCCGGGGAAGGCUAUCUCCUGGAUUGAAGAAAAAUACAUGGAUACUUUUGGCAGUUGGUUGCGAGCACGUCUCACGAAUGACAACACUGUUGGAGAUCAAUUCUACUUGUUGGUCGUGUCACCUUCUUCGACUGUAUUACAUUUCCAAGGGUACGAGAUAAACGGGAAUACAUUUUACACGACCGCCCAAGAUAAAAAGAGCACCAACCAAAACAGUGGUGUCCGCUAUGAUGUGAUAGACGAGAAUGGGAAAAAGGACACAUACUAUGGUUACAUAGAGGAGAUAUGGGAACUUGACUAUGGACCUACUUUUAAGGUCCUUUUGUUUCGGUGUAGUUGGGUGAACAUGAAUGGAGAAGGGGUAAAGCUAGACCAGUUGUACGGAAUGACAAUAGUUGAUCUCAAGAAUCUUGGUUACAGAGACGAGCCAUUCGUGUCCUAGCCAAUGAUGUGGCUCAGGUUUUCUACGUGAAAGACAUGUCAUCCAGACCAAAAAAAGAAAAAAAAAGCAAAUUAAUACAAUGAACGAUGAGCCAAAGCAUCACAUAGUUCUUUCAGGGAAAAGAAACAUCAUGGGAAUCGAGGACAAGACACACAUGUCAGCAGAUUAUAAUAAGUUUGAUGAAAUUUCACCCUUCAUAGUGAGAAUUGACCCCAAGCAUCCCGUUAAAUAAUAAAGAUGCUCCAUGGUCACGGCCAAAGCUAUCAUAGGUAAAGGAUCGAAAUAUAAAUCUAUGUAAUGUAUUAAACUUUAUGUGAUGUGUACUAAUGUAUUAAACUAUGAAAGAGAUUGUCCGUUUUGUACAUGAAGUGCAUUCAUUUUUUAUCGUAACCCUCUCAACUUUUUAGCACAUGCUAUGUGGGUGAAAUGAUAAUACCAUGUGAACUUUCAACCUUUUCAGAGUUCAUUUGUAGUGCUUUUCAAUUUCAGGGUCCAUUAUCUAAAAAAAUAAGUAAAUGCAUGAAAAAUACCAAAUGAAGUCAAAAAUUGUUGAAAAUUUAUGAUGUGUCUUUGAAUGGUGCUAUCUGAACACACAAAAAGUAUGGAUUUCAAAUAAGUUCAAAGAAUGAAAUCCCUUUGUAAGAGAUGAGUUCUCGUUCGAAACUGUGAUACUUCGAAAGAGAUUAUCCGUUUUGUACAAGAAGUGCAUCCAGUUUUUGUCGUAACCCUCUCAACUUAUUAGCACAUUCUAUGUGGGUGAAAUGAUGAUACCAUGUCAACUUUCAACCUUUUCAGAGUUCAUUUGUAGUGCUUUUCAAUUUCAUGGUGAAUUAGCUCAAAAAAAUAAGUAAAUGCAUGAAAAAUGCCAAAUGAAGUCAGAAAUUGUUGAAAAAUUAUGAUGUUCCUUUGAAUGGUGCAUUUUGAACAAACAAAAAGUAUGGAGUUCAAAUAAGUUCAAAAGAAUGAAAUCCCUUUGAAAGAGAUGAGUUCUCGCUCGAAACCCUAAUACUUCGAAAGAGAUUGUUGGUUUUGUACACGAAGUGCAUCCAGUUUUUGUCAUAACCCUCUCAACUUUUUAUCACAUGCUAUGUGUGUGAAAUGAUGAUACCAUGCCAACUUUCAACCUUUUCAGAGUUCAUUUGUAGUGCUUUUCAGUUCCAGGGUCAAUUAGCUCAAAAAAAAUAAGUAAAUGCAUGAAAAAUACCAAAUGAAGUCAGAAAUUUUGAAAAUUUAUGAUGUGCCAUUGAAUGGUGCAUUUUGCACACACAAAAAGUUUGGAGUUCAAAUAAAUUCAAAAAAUGAAAUCCCUUUGUAAGAGAUAAGUUCUCGUUCGAAACCCUCAUACUUCAAAAGAGAUUGUCCGUUUUGUACACGAAGUGCAUCCAGUUUUUGUCGUAACCCUCUCAACUUUUUAGCACAUGCUAUAUGAGUGAAAUGAUGAUACCAUGCCAACUUUCAACAUUUUCACAGUUCAUUUGUAGUGCUUUCAAUUUCAGGGUCAGUUAGCUCUAAAAAAGUAAAUACAUGAAAAAUACCAAAUGAAGUCUGAAAUUGUUGAAAAAUUAUGAUGUGCCUUUGAAUGGUGCAUUUUGAAAACACAAAAACUAUGAAGUUCAAAUAAGUUCAAAAAUCAAAUCCCUUUGUAAGAGAUGAGUUCUCGUUCGAAACCCUAAUACUUCGAAAGAGAUUGUCCGUUUUCUACAUGAAAUGCAUCCAUUUUUUGUAGUAAUCGUCUCAAAUUUUUGGCACAUGCUACGUGGGUGAAAUGAUGAUACCAUGCCAACUUUCAAUAUUUUUAGAGUUUAUUUGUAGUGCUUUUCAAUUUCAGGGUCAAUUAGCUCAAAAAAAAUAGUAAAUGCAUGAAAAAUACCAAAUGAAGUCAGAAAUUGUUGAAAAAUUAUGAUGUGCCUUUGAAUGGUGCAUUUUGAACACACAAAAAUUCUGAAGUUCAAAUAAGUUCAAAAUACUAAAAUCCCUUUGUAACACAUGAGUUUUCGUUUGAAACACUGAUAGUUCGAAAGAGAUUGUCCGUUUUGUACACGAAGUGCAUCCAGUUUUUGUCGUAACCCUCUCAACUUUUUAGUACAUGCUAUGUGGGUGAAAUGAUGAUACCGUGCCAACUUUCAAUCUUUUUAGAAUUCAUUUGUAGUGCUUUUCAAUUUUCGGGUCAAUUAGCUGAAAAAAUAAGUAAAUGCAUGAAAAAUACCAAAUGAAGUGAGAAAUUGUUGAAAAUUUAUGAUGUCAACUAAAAAGAAUCAACUAAAACAUUAACUAAAAAGAAUGAACUAAAAUUAUCAAAGCGUUUUAUUUGUUUAAAAGAAUCAAGUAAAACAUUAACUAAAAGAAAAAGAAAAAAAUAUCAACUCAAAAUAAUUUUCAUAAAGUUUUUUUUGUUAAAAUCUUUAUAGAAAAGUAAAAUGAAAGAUAAAAAAAUAUUUAAUAUAAAGAAUUAAAAUAUAAACUAGGACUAAAAAUUAUUAAAGUAAAAAAAUGCCGCCUAUUGAGACAUCACGUCGUGCAUAAGAGUAUAAACCCUACACGAUAGAUGGGCCAGGAUGCUAGCCCGCAGGCCCAAUAGGCCCAUCAGGCAAAGAGGGGAAUUAGGCCCUUAGGCCUACUAUAGAGUGGACUUUAAAGAGCUGGCGCGGCGGUGCUUAUAAAGCCCUACGAGCGCUCCUCGCUCGACUAGGUGGGACUAAACAUUGUCGUGCCCCGCGCCGGUGCCAGCCCCAGAUCUUUAGUCCCGGGUUGGGGCUCGAACUGAGACUAAAGACCCCCUUUAGUCCCGGUUGGAGCCACCAACCGGGACUAAAGGUCCAUGCUUCCCGUCUUUUGGGCUGCCGAAAAAGGGCCUUUAGUCCCGGGUUGGGUCUCCAACCGGGACUAAAGGGGGGUCUUUAGUCCCGGUUUGAGACCCAACCUGGGACCAAAGGUCCUACUAUAUAUACAGAUUGACGAAAAUUCAAAUCCAAAUCGCCAGUUUCAUUCUCUUUUUCCUCUCACUCGCCUGCAGCACCGGACAAACUCCUCGACGCCGCCAGGCUACGCGUCGUCGCCGACGCCCUGCCGUCCUCCUCGCCGGCAACGUACCUCCUCGUGUGCCCUCCUCCCCGUCGCUGAUGCCCUGCCGUCCUCCUCGCAGGUGCCGUCGUCCUCGCCGAUGUCGUCCUCCUUGCCGGUGUCAUGCUCCUCCUCGCCUCCGGCGUCCUCCUCCAACAUCCCCUGUCGCCGGUGAGCCUCUCUCCUCUCCUCUCGAUCGAUCGUCGACAUGCUUAAGUAGUGUUUUGUAUAGAGAUGCUUCAUUAUUUUGUAUACAGAUGCUUAAGUGUUUUGUAGAUUAUUGCUUAAUUUUGCUUUUGUAUAUGCUUAAGUGUUAUUUAUAGCAUAUUUGGUGAAUUUUCUUUUAAGUGUAGGUUAAGCUAGAGGAAACAACAUUGUUAGUGUCAGUUUAGGUCACACUUAGUGUUAAAUUUAUAGGUUAUUGUUAGUUUAGGUUAAGUAGGUUUCUUUUAUGUUAAGUAAGUAAUUAGUUUAGGGCCUUUUUUCAUUUCUUUUAUGUUAAGUUUGCUACUCGUUUUUCUCUCUUAAUAUUUUAGAACUAUUUGCAGAAGUUUGAUGAAUUUUGACAUUUGCAAAAGUUUGUUAUGUAUUUGCAUUAUACACACUUAUUCUCAUAAAACAACAUACAAAUAUCUAGCUAAAGCAUUUAAAUGCUACAACAAAUGCGAUCAAAAUCGCAACUAAGGUAAUAAUUAAUCCAACAACAUAAUGAUACCAAGCCUCUUUAUUAACGGCAUAUUUUUUAAUCUUUCUAAUCUUUAAGCGCAUUGCAUCCAUCUUGAUCUUGUGAUCAUCGAUGACAUCGGCAACAUACAACUCUAAUUUCAUCGUCUCUUCUUCAAUUAUUUUCUAUUUUAAUUUCAAUUACUCGUUUUCUUUUUUAACUAAGUUUAACUUCUCGAUAAGAGGGUCGGUUGCAAUUUCUGGUUCACAUACCUCCCUAAUAUAAAUAUCUAUGUCAACUUGAUGGGCAUAAUUGUCAUAAACACUAAAUGCAACAAAUAGUUAUAAAAGAUACUAUACCACAUCCGAAUCAUAAACCGAACGAGGGCCGACGGGGACAGAUAUCAAAACCAUGGCACUAUGUAUAGCAAAAAAUGAUACAAGUAAGAAAAUUAUACAAGCAACUAUCUAAAUAAUGCAAAUAAGAUUUUUUCACAAAAAAGAUAAGAACAAGAGUCUCACAAAGGUGGUGCCGGCGACGGGCCGGUGCAGGCGAUCAACGGCAAUGAGGAUGGGGAUGGGAAGACAGUAAGUAAACCACACCUACACAUAUGCGAACUAAGAAGUUAAUUUGAGCUAAAAUCGCAUAUUAAUCAAAUAAACUCCCACAUAAAUACUCCCAAACUAAAACCCACAACUGAUCACUAUACUUAUAUAGCAUGAAACAAGCUAAAUUAGCAAUGAGAGGAGAAAGCAUGAAGUUACUAACCUUUUACAACCCUUGGAUAGAUGGGGUGCCUCAAAUCUUGACAAAUGUUGGCGAAAAUCAAGGAUGAGAUCUCGAGCUAUGGGGAAAACAGAGAGGAGAAAACAGAGAGGAUGAGCUCAAGCUCGGGCUGGACGAGGGGUUUUUUAUAGGGACAUCUUUAGUUCGUGUUGUUUAUAUAGAACGGGACUAAAGGUACACCUCUAGUCCCGGUUGGUAUUCAAAACAGGACGAAAUGGGCUCGCUGGGACCCCAGCCUGCCACCACCCCUUUACUCCCGGUUAAUAUCAACAAUCGGGACUAAAGGUCACAAAUGAACCGGGACUAAUGUUGGCCAUGCCCCCGGCCACUCCUAGCCGUUCAGACCAGGACUAAUGAUCUCAUUAGUCCCGGUCCGAAAUCAAACUAGGAUGAAUGCUCCAGACAAAAGGUCAUUUUUCUACUAGUGUGUGGACGACCGAGGGAGUGAGACAAGGCAUCAUCAGAUGGUAGGUGAGGUCGAAAGUGACAGCAAAUAAGCAAUCAUGUGUGUGUGGGGGGUCGCACCAGGAAGAAGGAACGAGCUAAUGGGUGGUUGAUUAACUAGGGCUUCUUUCCUUUCGUCCUGAGAUGGUUUCGAUUGGAUAGUAGAGAUUAAGAUGUCAAACAACAUAUCAUAUGUGCUUUACUAAUAGUCAUUAAGAUAUCGGCAUUACAUCCCAUUUUCUACUCACCUAAACACAAUAUUCUUUGUCAUUGAUUAGUUUUUGUGUGUUUGUCGACCAUGGCAACACACGGGCAUUAUACAAGUAUUAGUAAUUUUGUAUCUGCAAUGCAUGUUGUUAUCAGGUAGAGUAGUAAUUAAGACUUAAAAAGGUAGGAUAUUAAUUGCAUGACACGGUAUUAUAUAUGAUAUGUUUCUAGGAAAGAUAGUAUUAAUUACACAAUUAGUAUUAUUGCUAAUAUUUGGUAUGAUAUUGAUUACAUGCUAAACAUGUUGAGGGAUUAACAUAGGAGCAAUAUAGGUCGUUAGAUGCACGUCAUUUCAUGGUUGGGAUUAGUUGGAUGUGCCCCUUUGGAUAUUUUUAUAUUGGUAUAGAUAUAGAUAAAAUAUGACAAUUAAUGCAUAUGACGGAGUUAAUUAGAAGGGUACCCCUUAUAUAUACUGAGGCGAGGUUGAGGUGUGCCAUUGCUUCAGAUUUCAUCUAACCAUCUCAUAAUUUCGUAUAUAGUUCGUAGAAAAUAUGAAGGGGAUUGUGAUUGUUGUUUUNACAACGAAUGUGAAAAGAAUUGCCCACCAAGUUGAAAUAAGGGUCCGCAUUACAAAGAUAUAUAAAGCAACCUAUUAUUAGAAUAAAAUAGCGUGCUGAUUGUUGCGGGUGGUACCUUUUCAUGAGUCUAUAUAUCUAUGCAAAUAAAAAGUUAGUUGCACUCGUAUGCUGCCAAUCUUAUCUUAUUUAUGCUCACUAAUUCAUGGUAGAGUAAUGCUAGACAUACCGUUGUUUCACGGGAUUU
This 12048-nucleotide long non-coding RNA is filed under the name Hordeum vulgare. Its description in RNAcentral is "long non-coding RNA (HVUL_LNC002160)". The record is from RNAcentral. Lineage: Eukaryota; Viridiplantae; Streptophyta; Magnoliopsida; Poales; Poaceae.